Molecule: long non-coding RNA, 799 nt
Organism: Notolabrus celidotus (New Zealand spotty)
Lineage: Eukaryota; Metazoa; Chordata; Actinopteri; Labriformes; Labridae
Exons: 3
Source: RefSeq, a predicted model, not a curated record
UCUCUUUCUUCUUCUUCUUCCUCCUCAUGAGCAUCAAUGCAGCGUUGCAUGUUGUGUAUUGUUUCAUUCUUCUCCUUUCCAGGAGUUUGACUUCACGCACACGUGUGCGUCGAGCUCGCCUGAUGUUUUGUAGCAAUUAAUUUCAGUGUGUCUGCAUGUCAGCGCCCCAGGAGGGGGGCUGCAUAAAAGUUUUCCCCCAUUGCCACAGCUCUCGCCAGGGCUUAUAAUUGCCUUCUAUUACCAGGGCUGGAUGUCACAGCCUGUCUGUCACCAACAGGCUCUCAACUGGCGGCAGAUGAUGAGGAAAAGGAGUCAGAGUUUGCUCUUUUUGGCAGAGGAGAUAAUAAAGGUGAUGCAAAAGUGGAAGGAGAGGUUUCGGAAACUGUGACGCUGUGCUUUGUCAGCGUUGGGUGCAAAGCAGGAAUGAGGAACUAGAGAAAAUGAGUCAGAGCAGAUGUGUGAGAUGAGCUGCUGAGACAGCAGACCCUGACUCCAGAUCAGCUAAUGGUUUAAUAUGGAGAUGAAGCCUGCGGGGAGGAAUGGAAACAGAGUCCAACGGUUUUCAGAGGAAGGGCGGCGCUGAAAACACCACACACUAACACAAACACGCACGCGCACGCACAGACACACACACACACACACACACAGACACAGACACAGACACAGACAAAAAAAAAAGUCAGGAGGAGACAACCCGCUGUGAACAGGACAAAUAAACCAGUGGUUGUGUUGUAUGGGCUGUUGGGAACCGCACAAACACAUACAAACCUGUAUCACUACAUGGUAAAAAAGCUAGCAG